GGUCGGCACGUGCUGGCCCACGCGCACCUCUAGCCACCCGGGGAAGCGGGCUGGGGGGGCUCCGCGAGCCGGCCGGCUGCUCCCGGGCGUGCACGCGUGGCCGGGGACCCCCGAGCCUUCCCCAGGAAGCUUCUCCCCAUCCGAACGUGCCCACUCGGGACGGCAGGAAGCGUGGUGAAGUCCGCGAACGGCAGGCUCGGGACGAAGGGGAGGCCGAGGAGUGCUAGAGGGUCUAAUGCCUACGGGCUCGUAAAUUCAGAGCUGGAAACGACCCCGUUAUUUUAAUAGAAAAGGGGAGUUGACUGAGGUCGCACAGGUAGUGAGAUUUGAAUCCAGGUCCUGGGACUCUUAAAUAGAGCGCUCUUUCAAUUGGACCAGAGCUCUGAGCCGGAAGGAGGAAGCAAUAAUUGAAUCACCAGAGAGAGGAAAAAGGGCAGUUGCCUCUAAGCCUCUACCGGCUGAGUAUACUGAUGGACACACCUUGAUGGGUACUGGAUGCUAGCGCCACCUUUUCGAUGCUCUACAUCAACACCUAGAAGAAACUUAGUACAUCUUCAUUGAACUGAGCCAAAUCCCAGAAUUGUUGCAGUCUUGUUUAAUGAAAAACUGGAAUAGAGAGAAGUUAAAUGAUUUGCUGAAGACCAAAUAUGACAUCAGUUUGUUGCAGUGGAACAAGAAAAUAUUACUGACCGCAGAUCCAUACCUACUUUCCAAUCUCCAUAAAAAGACUGAGACUAAUCUCCAGAAGCACCAUGGACACCCUCAGUGAAGGUUAUGAGGAAGGAACAGGAAGGCUUUUGCAAACACUACUCUGCAGAUGUUUAGUCACAUGACUGAUUAAAGUCUUUUAAGAAUACAAGAUCCCAUUGUGCUUGUUCUCCAUUGACUGUUUAAAUCAAGCAUUUGAUUCAAUAAAGCAGACUUUCUUGAAGGCCCUGCUCCA
RNAcentral lists this long non-coding RNA (943 nucleotides) under Phascolarctos cinereus (koala). Its description in RNAcentral is "lncRNA (ENSPCIG00000026882.2)". The record is from RNAcentral. Lineage: Eukaryota; Metazoa; Chordata; Mammalia; Diprotodontia; Phascolarctidae.